This 496-nucleotide ribosomal RNA is filed under the name uncultured bacterium. RNAcentral describes it as "partial 16S ribosomal RNA". It matches the Rfam family "Bacterial small subunit ribosomal RNA", at positions 30 to 523 of the family's 1533-position model. The record is from RNAcentral.
AUUGAACGCUGGCGGAAUGCUUUACACAUGCAAGUCGAACGGUAGAGGGGGCAACCCCUCGAGAGUGGCGAACGGGUGAGUAAUAUAUCGGAACGUGCCCAGUCGUGGGGGAUAACGUAGCGAAAGUUACGCUAAUACCGCAUACGAUCUAAGGAUGAAAGCGGGGGAUCGCAAGACCUCGCGCGAUUGGAGCGGCGGAUAACAGAUUAGGUAGUUGGUGGGGUAAAGGCUCACCAAGACAACGAUCUGUAGCUGGCCUGAGGGGACGACCCGCCAAACUGGAACUGGGACACGGUCCAGACUCCUACGGGAGGCAGCAGUGGGGAAUUUUGGGCAAUGGUCGCAAGUCUGAUCCAGCCAUUCCGCGUGCAGGAUGAAGGCCCUCGGGUUGUAAACUGCUUUUGUACGGAACGAAAAGGUCUCUCUUAAUACGGGGGGCUCAUGACGGUACCGUAAGAAUAAGCACCGGCUAACUACGUGCCAGCAGCCGCCGCGG